CGAUAGCGUAUAUUAAAGUUGUUGCGGUUAAAAAGCUCGUAGUUGGAUCUCGGCAGGCAGGGGGUGGUUCGCUCUUAGCGCUACUGCCCCAUUUGCCUGUGUGAUUGGCGGAGGUUUCGGGGUGCUCUUCGUUGAGUGACCCGGGGCGCCGUCAGGUUUACUUUGAAAAAAUUAGAGUGCUCAAAGCAGGCUUUUCACGCUUGAAUAUUCGUGCAUGGAAUAAUGGAAUAGGAACUCGUUUCUAUUUUGUUGGUUUUCGGAAAUCGAGUUAAUGAUUAAUAGGGACAAUUGGGGGCAUUAGUAUUCAGACGACAGAGGUGAAAUUCUUGGACCGUCUGAAGACUAACUACUGCGAAAGCAUUUGCCAAGAGUGUUUUCAUUAA
Molecule: ribosomal RNA, 383 nt
Filed under: uncultured eukaryote
Lineage: Eukaryota
Description: partial 18S ribosomal RNA
Rfam family: Eukaryotic small subunit ribosomal RNA
Source: RNAcentral